This 340-nucleotide ribosomal RNA is filed under the name Cutibacterium acnes. RNAcentral describes it as "bacterial SSU rRNA". It matches the Rfam family "Bacterial small subunit ribosomal RNA", at positions 112 to 453 of the family's 1533-position model. Lineage: Bacteria; Bacillati; Actinomycetota; Actinomycetes; Propionibacteriales; Propionibacteriaceae. The record is from RNAcentral.
AACACGUGAGUAACCUGCCCUUGACUUUGGGAUAACUUCAGGAAACUGGGGCUAAUACCGGAUAGGAGCUCCUGCUGCAUGGUGGGGGUUGGAAAGUUUCGGCGGUUGGGGAUGGACUCGCGGCUUAUCAGCUUGUUGGUGGGGUAGUGGCUUACCAAGGCUUUGACGGGUAGCCGGCCUGAGAGGGUGACCGGCCACAUUGGGACUGAGAUACGGCCCAGACUCCUACGGGAGGCAGCAGUGGGGAAUAUUGCACAAUGGGCGGAAGCCUGAUGCAGCAACGCCGCGUGCGGGAUGACGGCCUUCGGGUUGUAAACCGCUUUCGCCUGUGACGAAGCGU